GCGUGGGGAAGGCCUGGUCUCAGUUAUGAGUGUGCAUAGUGGCCACUGAACUUCUCCAGCCCAAUCCCAAGCCUCUGAGUCACACCCAUGCCUUUUCUCUUUCAGACUUGGUCCCCUGCAAAACCUUAUAGACAGUCUCACAGACAUCUUGACUAGAGUCAUCCCUGGCCUGGUGCAGGGUGUGGUAAGACACUAAAGCGACCGACAGUUCCCCAUUACAUGGGUCUUAGAGUUCUUAGGCUGAGUUACUCUGUAUGAAAACUGUCCACCCAUCAGUCCAUCUGUCCUGUGAUCCAGAUGUCUGUCUUCAUUCUUUCUACUCCUCUAAACACAUUGGUUGGCUUCUUAUGGGCUGAAGAAAGUACUCCUGAAUAUAUUCCACCAUGAGCAUGCUGCUUCUCCUAGGGUCUCCUUGCAGGAAGUCCUAUGCCUAACUACCUUCUCUACCCUGGGUCAGGUGUGUCCUCUGGUCAAUGGGGUUCUCAGCCUCUUGGAUGUCAGCCUAGCACAUGAUGUUGCUGAUGUGCUGCUGCGUGGAGUACAAUUUGUCAUUAAGGCCUAAGCCUUCCAAGAAAGGACCUGUCUCUGCUGCGAUG
This 596-nucleotide long non-coding RNA is filed under the name Rattus norvegicus (Norway rat). RNAcentral describes it as "long non-coding RNA NONRATT018776". Lineage: Eukaryota; Metazoa; Chordata; Mammalia; Rodentia; Muridae. The record is from RNAcentral.